GAUGAACGCUGGCGGCGUGCCUAAUACAUGCAAGUCGAGCGAACGGACGAGAAGCUUGCUUCUCUGAUGUUAGCGGCGGACGGGUGAGUAACACGUGGAUAACCUACCUAUAAGACUGGGAUAACUUCGGGAAACCGGAGCUAAUGCCGGAUAAUAUUUUGAACCGCAUGGUUCAAAAGUGAAAGACGGUCUUGCUGUCACUUAUAGAUGGAUCCGCGCUGCAUUAGCUAGUUGGUAAGGUAACGGCUUACCAAGGCAACGAUGCAUAGCCGACCUGAGAGGGUGAGCGGCCACACUGGAACGGAGACACGGUCCAGACUCCUACGGGAGGCAGCAGUAGGGAAUCUUCCGCAAUGGGCGAAAGCCUGACGGAGCAACGCCGCGUGAGUGAUGAAGGUCUUCGGAUCGUAAAACUCUGUUAUUAGGGAAGAACAUAUGUGUAAGUAACUGUGCACAUCUUGACGGUACCUAAUCAGAAAGCCACGGCUAACUACGUG
Molecule: ribosomal RNA, 497 nt
Filed under: uncultured bacterium
Lineage: Bacteria
Description: partial 16S ribosomal RNA
Rfam family: Bacterial small subunit ribosomal RNA
Source: RNAcentral